RNAcentral lists this ribosomal RNA (488 nucleotides) under uncultured bacterium. RNAcentral's name for it is "partial 16S ribosomal RNA". It matches the Rfam family "Bacterial small subunit ribosomal RNA", at positions 30 to 507 of the family's 1533-position model. The record is from RNAcentral.
AUUGAACGCUGGCGGCAUGCUUUACACAUGCAAGUCGAACGGCAGCACAGGGAGCUUGCUCCUGGGUGGCGAGUGGCGAACGGGUGAGUAAUGUAUCGGAACGUGCCUGGUAGUGGGGGAUAACUACUCGAAAGAGUGGCUAAUACCGCAUGAGAUCUUUGGAUGAAAGCGGGGGACCUUCGGGCCUCGUGCUACUGGAGCGGCCGAUAUCAGAUUAGGUUGUUGGUGGGGUAAAGGCCUACCAAGCCUGCGAUCUGUAGCUGGUCUGAGAGGACGACCAGCCACACUGGGACUGAGACACGGCCCAGACUCCUACGGGAGGCAGCGGUGGGGAAUUUUGGACAAUGGGCGCAAGCCUGAUCCAGCAAUGCCGCGUGCAGGACGAAGGCCUUCGGGUUGUAAACUGCUUUUGUACAGAACGAAAAGUCUCUGGCUAAUAUCUAGAGAUCAUGACGGUACUGUAAGAAUAAGCACCGGCUAACUACGUA